RNAcentral lists this ribosomal RNA (491 nucleotides) under uncultured bacterium. RNAcentral describes it as "partial 16S ribosomal RNA". It matches the Rfam family "Bacterial small subunit ribosomal RNA", at positions 29 to 507 of the family's 1533-position model. The record is from RNAcentral.
GUGAACGCUGGCGGUAGGCCUAACACAUGCAAGUCGAACGGCAGCACAGUAAGAGCUUGCUCUUACGGGUGGCGAGUGGCGGACGGGUGAGGAAUACAUCGGAAUCUACUUUUUCGUGGGGGAUAACGUAGGGAAACUUACGCUAAUACCGCAUACGACCUACGGGUGAAAGCAGGGGAUCUUCGGACCUUGCGCGAUUUCAUGAGCCGAUGUCGGAUUAGCUAGUUGGCGGGGUAAAGGCCCACCAAGGCGACGAUCCGUAGCUGGUCUGAGAGGAUGAUCAGCCACACUGGAACUGAGACACGGUCCAGACUCCUACGGGAGGCAGCAGUGGGGAAUAUUGGACAAUGGGCGCAAGCCUGAUCCAGCCAUGCCGCGUGGGUGAAGAAGGCCUUCGGGUUGUAAAGCCCUUUUGUUGGGAAAGAAAAGCAGCAGGUUAAUACCCCGCUGUUCUGACGGUACCCAAAGAAUAAGCACCGGCUAACUUCGUG